AUGGAGGGAAAGAUUCCCACCGUGCAAGCAACUUCUAAGGGAGUGGGGAUGCAUGCAAUAAGAAGGCUCUGUGUCCCUAGACCACCUGCCAAACCUCCUGAAGAUUAUGACAAGUGCAUCCUUCUUUUCGUAAGAAUGCAGACUAUCAAUACAGCAUCAUCUCCAAGCUGUGUGCUGAACAUGUUGAAGCCACUGUUUGAGAUGCUACAUCUGCCGUUGCAAGGAAACUGUGGUGCACUGUCUGAUUCUUCAUGUUGUCCUCUGCAUUCACAGCUGGGUAGUUUUUCCUUGCUUAAAUGGUAUCUUCAAACUACAUUCAUUUCUCUAACGGCACCCCGGGGCCAGUGCAAUUCUGAACAUUUUCAACCUUGGAUCACCAGCACAAAGGUACUAUAUUUCACAUACUUUGCCGGCGGAAGUCGACAUAUGUCCCAGUUACAUUUUCAAGCUUGUCAUAGUGGCAGCCGGACAGUGACUCGGGAAACAUCUUCUAUUGGCACAUUGCAUACACAUGCAGGUUGUAUGGCCUAUCUAAAUCUUAUCAACAUUACUUUGAGGUGUUCAGAAGUAAUACAUGGGGUGCAUGUGACCUACAAAAGCAUACAGUCUUAUAUAUCCUAUAUGGUGCAGCAACUAGUAUGUGUUGAAUACCUUACCUAUGGUCUUGCCCACUGUGACAUUUAUUUGGAGAAGUUUGCACUGUUGUGGAAGAUGAAGAAACAUGGUUCAAAUAAUUCAGUUGUUACUGUCACUUCUUCCUUCAGACAUAGCAGCAACAUUUGUUCUGUUCAGAACGUCCUAUUACUUGCCUGGGGGAUUACUUGGAAGCUUGCUCUGUCCUAG
Molecule: ribosomal RNA, 843 nt
Filed under: Triticum aestivum (bread wheat)
Lineage: Eukaryota; Viridiplantae; Streptophyta; Magnoliopsida; Poales; Poaceae
Description: partial small subunit ribosomal RNA
Source: RNAcentral